This 344-nucleotide long non-coding RNA is filed under the name Homo sapiens (human). RNAcentral describes it as "non-protein coding lnc-TRUB1-2:1". Lineage: Eukaryota; Metazoa; Chordata; Mammalia; Primates; Hominidae. The record is from RNAcentral.
UGUGUUAGCAGGCAUGAAAGCAACAUUAAUCUUUUUGUACAUGUCCAUCAGAGCUCUUGGGUGACCAGGUAUAUUGCCAGUGAGCAGUAAUACUUUGAAAGGAAUUAUUUUUCUUAGCAGUAGGUCUCAGCACUUUUAAUUUGCUUCAAGAUAUAUUUCUUUGCAUUCACAACUUGGCUGACUGGUGCAAGAGGCCUAGCUUUCAGACUAUCUUGGCUUUUGACAGGAGGCUGAGGCAGGAGAAUCUCUUGAACCCGGGAAGGGGAGGUUACAGUGAGCCAAGAUUGUGCCACUGCACUCCAGCCUGGGCAACAGAGUGAGACUGUCUCACAAAAAAAAAAAAA